CGAGUAGGCGGUUUUGCAAGUCAGAUGUGAAAGGCGGGGGCUCAACCCCCGAGCUGCAUUUGAAACUGUAGGACUUGAGUGAUGGAGAGGCAGGCGGAAUUCCCGGUGUAGCGGUGGAAUGCGUAGAGAUCGGGAGGAACACCAGUGGCGAAGGCGGCCUGCUGGACAUUAACUGACGCUGAGGAGCGAAAGCGUGGGGAGCAAACA
RNAcentral lists this ribosomal RNA (207 nucleotides) under uncultured Eubacteriales bacterium. Its description in RNAcentral is "uncultured Clostridiales bacterium partial 16S ribosomal RNA". It matches the Rfam family "Bacterial small subunit ribosomal RNA", at positions 568 to 774 of the family's 1533-position model. The record is from RNAcentral. Lineage: Bacteria; Bacillati; Bacillota; Clostridia; Eubacteriales.